This 1415-nucleotide ribosomal RNA is filed under the name bacterium NLAE-zl-P494. RNAcentral describes it as "bacterial SSU rRNA". It matches the Rfam family "Bacterial small subunit ribosomal RNA". The record is from RNAcentral.
UCNGGCUUACCAUGCAAGUCGAGGGGCAGCAUGGUCUUAGCUUGCUAAGGCCGAUGGCGACCGGCGCACGGGUGAGUAACACGUAUCCAACCUGCCGUCUACUCUUGGACAGCCUUCUGAAAGGAAGAUUAAUACAAGAUGGCAUCAUGAGUCCGCAUGUUCACAUGAUUAAAGGUAUUCCGGUAGACGAUGGGGAUGCGUUCCAUUAGAUAGUAGGCGGGGUAACGGCCCACCUAGUCUUCGAUGGAUAGGGGUUCUGAGAGGAAGGUCCCCCACAUUGGAACUGAGACACGGUCCAAACUCCUACGGGAGGCAGCAGUGAGGAAUAUUGGUCAAUGGGCGAGAGCCUGAACCAGCCAAGUAGCGUGAAGGAUGACUGCCCUAUGGGUUGUAAACUUCUUUUAUAAAGGAAUAAAGUCGGGUAUGNAUACCCGUUUGCAUGUNCUUUAUGAAUAAGGAUCGGCUAACUCCGUGCCAGCAGCCGCGGUAAUACGGAGGAUCCGAGCGUUAUCCGGAUUUAUUGGGUUUAAAGGGAGCGUAGAUGGAUGUUUAAGUCAGUUGUGAAAGUUUGCGGCUCAACCGUAAAAUUGCAGUUGAUACUGGAUAUCUUGAGUGCAGUUGAGGCAGGCGGAAUUCGUGGUGUAGCGGUGAAAUGCUUAGAUAUCACGAAGAACUCCGAUUGCGAAGGCAGCCUGCUAAGCUGCAACUGACAUUGAGGCUCGAAAGUGUGGGUAUCAAACAGGAUUAGAUACCCUGGUAGUCCACACGGUAAACGAUGAAUACUCGCUGUUUGCGAUAUACGGCAAGCGGCCAAGCGAAAGCGUUAAGUAUUCCACCUGGGGAGUACGCCGGCAACGGUGAAACUCAAAGGAAUUGACGGGGGCCCGCACAAGCGGAGGAACAUGUGGUUUAAUUCGAUGAUACGCGAGGAACCUUACCCGGGCUUAAAUUGCAGAUGAAUUACGGUGAAAGCCGUAAGCCGCAAGGCAUCUGUGAAGGUGCUGCAUGGUUGUCGUCAGCUCGUGCCGUGAGGUGUCGGCUUAAGUGCCAUAACGAGCGCAACCCUUGUUGUCAGUUACUAACAGGUUCCGCUGAGGACUCUGACAAGACUGCCAUCGUAAGAUGUGAGGAAGGUGGGGAUGACGUCAAAUCAGCACGGCCCUUACGUCCGGGGCUACACACGUGUUACAAUGGGGGGUACAGAGGGCCGCUACCACGCGAGUGGAUGCCAAUCCCAAAAACCUCUCUCAGUUCGGACUGGAGUCUGCAACCCGACUCCACGAAGCUGGAUUCGCUAGUAAUCGCGCAUCAGCCACGGCGCGGUGAAUACGUUCCCGGGCCUUGUACACACCGCCCGUCAAGCCAUGGGAGCCGGGGGUACCUGAAGUGCGUAACCGCGAGAGCGCCUNAGUAAU